CGGUGAGAGGAUGAUUAUGACUAGUUUCCCUAUUGGUUUGAUAGCCGGGAUGAUGGCUUUUAUUGUAUUAGCUCUGUCUGAUUACAU
Molecule: small nucleolar RNA, 87 nt
Organism: Elaeis guineensis (African oil palm)
Lineage: Eukaryota; Viridiplantae; Streptophyta; Magnoliopsida; Arecales; Arecaceae
Product: small nucleolar RNA Z102/R77
Source: RefSeq, a predicted model, not a curated record